RNAcentral lists this ribosomal RNA (387 nucleotides) under Labyrinthuloides sp. Its description in RNAcentral is "partial small subunit ribosomal RNA". It matches the Rfam family "Eukaryotic small subunit ribosomal RNA", at positions 587 to 975 of the family's 1831-position model. Lineage: Eukaryota; Bigyra; Thraustochytrida; Thraustochytriidae. The record is from RNAcentral.
AGCUCCAAUAGCGUAUAUUAAAGUUGUUGCAGUUAAAAAGCUCGUAGUUGGAUUUCUGGUAGGAGCGACCGUUCCGAACUUGAUUGUUCGUGUAUUGAGUUGUCUCCAGCCAUCCUUGUGGAGAACUUUUCUUGCAUUAAUUUGUAGGGAUUGGGACCCGCAUCGUUUACUGUGAAGAAAUUAGAGUGUUUAAAGCAGGCAAUCGCUUGAAUACAUUAGCAUGGAAUAAUAAGAUAGGACUUUGGUACUAUUUUGUUGGUUUGCAUACCAAAUUAAUGAUCAACAGGAACAGUUUGAGGAUAUUCGUAUGAACAUGUCAGAGGUGAAAUUCUUGGAUUUUGAUCAGACGAACUACUGCGAAAGCAUUUAUCAAGGAUGUUUUCAUUA